RNAcentral lists this ribosomal RNA (497 nucleotides) under uncultured bacterium. RNAcentral's name for it is "partial 16S ribosomal RNA". It matches the Rfam family "Bacterial small subunit ribosomal RNA", at positions 28 to 507 of the family's 1533-position model. The record is from RNAcentral.
GAUGAACGCUGGCGGCGUGCCUAAUACAUGCAAGUCGAGCGAACAGACGAGGAGCUUGCUCCUCUGACGUUAGCGGCGGACGGGUGAGUAACACGUGGAUAACCUACCUAUAAGACUGGGAUAACUUCGGGAAACCGGAGCUAAUACCGGAUAAUAUAUUGAACCGCAUGGUUCAAUAGUGAAAGACGGUUUUGCUGCCACUUAUAGAUGGAUCCGCGCCGCAUUAGCUAGUUGGUAAGGUAACGGCUUACCAAGGCAACGAUGCGUAGCCGACCUGAGAGGGUGAUCGGCCACACUGGAACUGAGACACGGUCAAGACUCCUACGGGAGGCAGCAGUAGGGAAUCUUCCGCAAUGGGCGAAAGCCUGACGGAGCAACGCCGCGUGAGUGAUGAAGGUCUUCGGAUCGUAAAACUCUGUUAUUAGGGAAGAACAAAUGUGUAAGUAACUAUGCACGUCUUGACGGUACCUAAUCAGAAAGCCACGGCUAACUACGUG